GGCUUCUCUGUGUAGCUUUGGAGCCUGUCCUGGCACUCACUCUGUAGACCAGGCUGGCCUCGAACUCACAGAGAUCCACCUGCCUCUGCCUCCCAAGUGCUGGGAUUAAAGGCAUGCGCCACCAAUGCCC
RNAcentral lists this microRNA precursor (130 nucleotides) under Cricetulus griseus (Chinese hamster). RNAcentral describes it as "miRNA (ENSCGRG00001002762.1)". The record is from RNAcentral. Lineage: Eukaryota; Metazoa; Chordata; Mammalia; Rodentia; Cricetidae.